Oryza sativa Japonica Group (Japanese rice) is the source of this 3780-nucleotide non-coding RNA. NCBI's taxonomy places the organism in Eukaryota, Viridiplantae, Streptophyta, Magnoliopsida, Poales, Poaceae. The record is from RefSeq and is a predicted model, not a curated record.
AUGAGCCCACUCCAUGUUCGUUGAAGAAUUGGAUACACUGUGAAGACAGGUCCAGAGAGAAACGCCGUUUGUUCGGAGCCACCUGAGAUCCAGCGAUGCUUCAUGAUCUUUGGUAGGUCUGUGUGCUUCAGGAAGUUCGCUGAAGCAUUUGCAUCCAGAUCGCGGGACAUAAGACUUGUGCUUGCGGAUGAACCUUUACAUUUUUUUACCUUGUGUAAUAUAUAUGCAAGGUUGUUAUGAAAUCAUAAUCGCUGUAAAUUGCAACAUAAAGAAUGUCGGUUGUGAAAUUCUUGUUGAUAUCCCUAUAAAUGUAGUGCACCAAGGGCGUCAUGAGUCAUCAGUUCGUCGCUUGACUUGUGAGUACUCAAUCUUCACACUCAUAAUCUCACCCUUAGUUUAUCUGAUACAACUUUGCUGGGGUAAUUUCUGAUAUCAGAAAACUUUCAGUUAUUUGCUCCACUCUUCAAAAAAUACAUUUUCUCAAAAUUCCAUUUCUACUGUAUUGUUUAGACUAAUUGUUCUAAGAUAUUUGUUAAGUUUGUUUUUAAAAUACUAAAUUUAUUCUCAGAAUUUAGUAGAUACUCCAUCCCAUAAUACAAGGGAUUUUGGAUGGAUGUGACACAUCCUAAUAUAAUGAAUCUGAACAGGUCGUCUGUUCAGAUUUAUUGUACUAGGAUGUGUUAUAUCCACUCAAAAUUCCUUAUAUCAUGGGACGGAGGGAUUAAUCCUUAACAAUAGUGAGCUCAAUAUUCUAAGCACAUAAGCUGUCCUGCAAGCUAAACAUUGGGCUGCAUAUGAGGCCCACAUUCUUGGGCUGGAGCCAGCUAUGCAUGCCUCUCUCAGGGCCUUGCUAGAGUCGGCCCACGGUUUUCUGCAGGAAACCAAACAACGCGUCGUCUUCUUCCUGCGGGAAACUAGGCGCCCCCAGUGUGAGUCGAGUCGGUGCUGUGCUGGAGUGCUGGCAACGCAGGCAUGGCGGGGGCCAAAACGAAACCGGCGGCGUUCCCGCGAUCCCUGCGGCGAGGCCUUGCCUUUCCUCGCUUACGGCGUGCCGACCUUGUGUGCGCACUGCGCGGCGGCGCGGGCGCACGACGCUGGCACGACAACCCCACCUCCACUACUCCAUUUACUUUGCUACUCCCUUCUCCUUCCCCGAGUCCAUCGCCGGAGUAGUAGUGCCGCAGAAGGAUCCCUCGCCGACGAGGGCGCGGUAGCAGCAGCACAAGCAAUUCGCGCAGGAGAGAAGUGGCCGCAGGCCGCAGCGAUGGGCGCGCCGGUUUGUGGCGCACUCGUGUGCUUCUUCGUUCUCCUCGUUGCCCGUGCGGCCGCGGAGACGGCGCCGGUGGAACGUCCCACAUUGCCCUCAGCCGACGUCGCCAUCGACGGUAAUGGCAACGGCGCUCGUGCUGGUGCGGGCAAAGCUGCCGGCGCCGGCGCCGUGGGAGGAGGGAUCGUGUCAAACUCGGUGCUGGUGGCGUUGCUGGACUCGCGCUACACGGAGAUGGCGGAGCUGGUGGAGAAGGCCCUGCUGCUCCAGGCGCUGGAGGACGCCGUCGCCGAGCACAACGUCACCAUCCUCGCGCCGCGGAACGAGGCGCUGGAGCGGGACAUCGACCCGGAGUUCAAGCGCUUCCUGCUCGAGCCGCGGAAUCUCAACUCGCUCCAGUCGCUGCUCCUCUUCCACGUCCUCCCCGCCCGCCUCCCCUCCGGUUCCUGGCCCGCCGCGGCCACCCACCCGACGCUCGCCGGCGAGGAUGUUGAGCUCGCCGCGGCCGACGGCGGCGGCGGCAUGCGCGUCGCCCACGCCGCCGUCUCGCGCCCGGACGCGGUGGUCAGGACGGAUGGCGUCAUCCACGGGAUCGACCGCCUCCUCGUGCCGCGCUCCGUCCAGGACGAAUUCAACCGCCGCCGCAGCCUCGCCGACAUCUCCGCCAUGCCGCCGACGGCCGCGCCCGAGGUGGAUCCGAGGACGGAUCGCCUCAAGAAGCCGGCGCCACCCGGCGAUUCUCCUGUGCUCCCGAUCUCCGACGCGACUGUUCCCGAUCCCUCCGUCGCGCUGGCGUCGGAGCCCAGUGACCACUACGACGGCGACAGCCAGGUGAAGGACUUCAUUCAGACCCUGCUCAAGUACGGCGGCUACAACGAGCUCGCCGACAUCUUCGUCAACCUCACCUCGCUCGCCACCGAGUUAGCCCAGCUCGUCUCCGAAGGGUACGCGCUCACCGUGCUCGCGCCCAACGACGAGGCCAUGGCGCGGCUCACCGCCGACCAGCUCAGCGAGCCCGGCUCGCCGGAGAACAUCCUGUACUACCACAUGAUCCCGGAGUACCAGACCGAGGAGAGCAUGUACAACGCGGUGCGGCGGUUCGGCAAGGUGCGCUACGACACGCUGCGGCUGCCGCACAAGGUGGUGGCGCGCGAGGCCGACGGCUCAGUCAAGUUUGGCCAUGGCGAGGGCUCGGCGUAUCUCUUCGACCCGGACAUCUUCGCCGACGGCAGGAUCUCAGUGCAGGGCAUUGACGCCGUGCUGUUCCCGCCGGCUGAGACGAAGACGAAGACGAAGCCGGCCACCGCCCGGAUCAGGACGGCGCCCGCUAUCACCGGCGUCAGCAAGAUUAAACACCGGAGAGGCAAAUUGCUAGAAGCAGCAUGCCAAAUGGUUGGCAUCCUUGGCCAGCGAUCGCAAUUCACACGCUGCCAGUAGACAGGAAAGAUUGAUCUCAUGAUACUGAAACACGGUCUAGAGGUACCUGUAGGAGCUGAUGAUGCUGAACUUGGCGAGCGCAUUAUACAGCAGUUGGCCGCUUGCGCAUUAUCUCUUCUACCAUGCUGAACUUCGCACCCUCAAUUUCCCAUCAUGGUAGAAGAGAUGGCCAUUGUAGGCUCACAGCUACCGAUCCAUCUCUACGUGGUGAAUUGGUGAUAGAGCAAUGAACAUGAACAGGACCUCUGAAAACCAAUCUACACCUGUAAUAAAGAUACAGUAGGACCAUCUGAUUUGUAGCUUUUCUCUGACGUGUUGAGAUCUUGUUAGCUAUCAGCUUCAACGAAGUAAUCUCCAACUCCUGAAAGCACCUUCACAUUGAAUAUAUGCAUUUUAUGGGCAUUCAUUAGAAUGCCAGGUCUAAAACAACGAGUACGCACAAGAUGGAAUGAAAGGUAUUUUCCCACAGUAGUUCUUAGCUUUGAAGUAAGGAGGGGAGGUCCGGGAUUGUUGCGUUAUCCUACAGUAGUUCUUGGCCGUGAAGACUGAAGACAGGAAUUGGGGCAAAAUGCUACACGGGUAGAUGAUGUAUGUAAUGGCGUCCAGUCAAUUCUUUUUAGAGGAGUGUUCGAUCCUGUAGAGGAUGAAACAAACAUUUUUCCUUUGGGUGUGUUUAGUUCACGCUAAAAUUGGAAGUUUGGUUGAAAUUGAAAUGAUGUGACGGAAAAGUUAGAAGUUUGUGUGUAGGAAAGUUUUGAUGUGAUGGAAAAGUUGAAAGUUUGAAAAAAAAAGUUUGGAACUAAACUCAGCCUUCAUAAGUUUCUCUAACCGCCGCCAAUUUCACUUUCGUCAGGUCCAGAGAGAAAAGCCGCUUGUUCGGAGCACCUGAGAUAUCCAGCGAUGCUUCAUGCCUUCAUCAUCUUUGUGUGCUUCAAAAGUCGUUGGAAGCUCUUGCGUUCAGAUCACGGGACGUUACGAAUUGUAAUCGUUAUCAUUCACAACAGAACGAAUGUCGAUUGUGAAAUUCUUGUUGGUAUCCCUAUAAAUCAAGGGUACGGUCAUUCAUCAGUUCGUCA